UCCGGUUUAUCACCGGCAGUCUCCCUUGAGUUCCCACCAUCACGUGCUGGCAACAAAGGAUAAGGGUUGCGCUCGUUGCGGGACUUAACCCAACAUUUCACAACACGAGCUGACGACAGCCAUGCAGCACCUGUCUCUCAGUUCCCGAAGGCACUUCGCUGUCUCCAGCAAAUUCUGAGGAUGUCAAGAGUAGGUAAGGUUCUUCGCGUUGCAUCGAAUUAAACCACAUGCUCCACCGCUUGUGCGGGCCCCCGUCAAUUCAUUUGAGUUUUAACCUUGCGGCCGUACUCCCCAGGCGGUCGAUUUAACGCGUUAGCUCCGGAAGCCACGCCUCAAGGGCACAACCUCCAAAUCGACAUCGUUUACAGCGUGGACUAC
Molecule: unclassified non-coding RNA, 378 nt
Filed under: Xenorhabdus bovienii
Lineage: Bacteria; Pseudomonadati; Pseudomonadota; Gammaproteobacteria; Enterobacterales; Morganellaceae
Description: contains 16S-23S intergenic spacer region
Source: RNAcentral